Molecule: transfer RNA, 64 nt
Filed under: Brachylecithum sp. PakAb2
Lineage: Eukaryota; Metazoa; Platyhelminthes; Trematoda; Plagiorchiida; Dicrocoeliidae
Description: tRNA-Ser
Source: RNAcentral
AGUGGUGGUUUGCCUAGGGGCGAUUUGAAGUCGUUUCUUUCUUCCGGUGGGGAGAUAUCCGCUA